AUUGAACGCUGGCGGCAGGCCUAACACAUGCAAGUCGAGCGGAUGAAGGGAGCUUGCUCCUGGAUUCAGCGGCGGACGGGUGAGUAAUGCCUAGGAAUCUGCCUGGUAGUGGGGGAUAACGUCCGGAAACGGGCGCUAAUACCGCAUACGUCCUGAGGGAGAAAGUGGGGGAUCUUCGGACCUCACGCUAUCAGAUGAGCCUAGGUCGGAUUAGCUAGUUGGUGGGGUAAAGGCCUACCAAGGCGACGAUCCGUAACUGGUCUGAGAGGAUGAUCAGUCACACUGGAACUGAGACACGGUCCAGACUCCUACGGGAGGCAGCAGUGGGGAAUAUUGGACAAUGGGCGAAAGCCUGAUCCAGCCAUGCCGCGUGUGUGAAGAAGGUCUUCGGAUUGUAAAGCACCUUAAGUUGGGAGGAAGGGCAGUAAGUUAAUACCUUGCUGUUUUGACGUUACCAACAGAAUAGGCACCGGCUAACUUCGUG
This 484-nucleotide ribosomal RNA is filed under the name uncultured bacterium. Its description in RNAcentral is "partial 16S ribosomal RNA". It matches the Rfam family "Bacterial small subunit ribosomal RNA", at positions 30 to 507 of the family's 1533-position model. The record is from RNAcentral.